GCGGGGGUGCCGGAGUGGCCAAACGGGCAAGGUUGAGGGCCUUGUGGCUUAGUGCCUGCGCGUGUUCGAACCACGUCCCCCGCA
This 84-nucleotide transfer RNA is filed under the name Candidatus Woesearchaeota archaeon. Its description in RNAcentral is "tRNA-Leu". It matches the Rfam family "tRNA". From Rfam's summary of the family: Transfer RNA (tRNA) molecules are approximately 80 nucleotides in length. Their secondary structure includes four short double-helical elements and three loops (D, anti-codon, and T loops). Lineage: Archaea; Nanobdellati; Candidatus Woesearchaeota. The record is from RNAcentral.